Molecule: unclassified non-coding RNA, 567 nt
Filed under: Hevea brasiliensis (rubber tree)
Lineage: Eukaryota; Viridiplantae; Streptophyta; Magnoliopsida; Malpighiales; Euphorbiaceae
Source: RNAcentral
CAUAGCCAAGAACCCAUAUUUCCCAAUACUGAGACGUUUCUGAGGAUCUCCGGUGGAAUAGCCAGUGAAAUAGAAAUAACGAGUGAUGAUAUAGAGGCAUCCAAGAGAAGCGCAGACACAGGGAUGCCUAAACCCUCCUAACAUCAUCAACACAAAGAACAUAGGCAUCAUCUCUAGCGAGUUCUGGUGCCCUCUCUGGACACAGUUGAAGAGCUUAGCAUCUUUGUUUUCAGAUUCUAAAGCAUAAAGGGUAGGAUAAGGAACCUUGUACAUCUUGCGGGCCUUGCCUACCUGACCAGCCAUCCAGAAAUUGAGGAAGCAAUACGCUACAAGAACCAGAGCCACAUAUCCAUACUCUUUUGGCAGCUCCAUUUCCACUCUGGCCAGCUUUUCUCUGCAAACUUGCACAAUAACCCACUUCUUCUGCUCUCUUUCUAUUAACCAGAAACCAGAAGAUUCGAGGAUUAUGACUCUUGACUAGGUCAUUACUCCAAUUUUUUAAGAUCAAUUUCUAGCUGUUUCACAACGAACACGCAUGCAGAGCCCAUAGAUAAGCUAAAAUUUAAU